This 2475-nucleotide long non-coding RNA is filed under the name Pogona vitticeps (central bearded dragon). Its description in RNAcentral is "lncRNA (ENSPVIG00000018886.1)". Lineage: Eukaryota; Metazoa; Chordata; Lepidosauria; Squamata; Agamidae. The record is from RNAcentral.
GAUUAAAAGAAAACUAUGAAGGUAAAAGGAGGCCACUGUAAACAAACCCAACUCCCUUCUCCAGAACAGAUGUAACCUGUGCAGGGGCUGCCAAGGGCCCCGGCAUACAAGACUUUCCAGCAGAGUAGACAGAACCUUCAGUGACUCUUGACCUUGAGGUCUUUCUUCAUUUUGGGAACUCCAUUGGUCAGUUCCCCUUCUUGGGAAACCUCCGUGAUAGCCAUGUUGACACCUUUGAGGCCUCCCCCUGCCCCAUGUUGUUACUGCAGAUUAGCUUGGUUGCAUUAACACUGCUCAGAAUGUACAGUAGCUGCCAACCUUUAGGCUGAAGGAACCAGCUCAAGGCUUUGCCCCCCCCCCUCCCGUUGGGUUCUGCGAUGGGUCGCUUAGAUGACCAGGCCAAGAAGCGGAUUGUGGAGUUGCGCAAAGCCGGUUUGAGUUUCCGCAAGAUCAAAAAGGUGCUGGAGGUGGACAAUAUCCGCGUCACGCCGCAAGCUAUCUACCUGUUCUUGAAGCGCAAGAAUGUCCAGCCCAGCGCCCCCUCGUCCGGUUCCGAUCCUCCGCCAGGCCUCAAGAAAGGAAGCAGAGAUGCUGUCUUAGAUCAGGUCAGCUGGGAGGAGGAGGAGGAGGAUCAGUGCUGGAAGCUGCCCCCGGAAAAUGAAGCUGGGCACGCCAGGCAAAGAGAGGAUGAUGUCUCCGCGGCAGGAGUCAGCCUGAGCUGUGAGAUGCCACUUUGGCAUGACAGCCGAGGUGAUGAGGAAGGCAUCAGAAUCGUUGGGGUGGCUUCCUUGAACCAAGACGAAGGGCAGUUUGGAAGGCAGAGCGCUACACGUGGAGGCUUCUCCAAGGGAUCGCAACCAGGCUCAAAUACUGGUGGCAGCUGCCCAGUGCGAAAGGACUCGGGCAGCGACUUUGCUCCUGUUGCACCUGCAGGCGCUCAGCCGAACAUGAAUGGCAAAGGAACGCUGUUUCUGCCACCUGCCAGGAAUCCUGCCUUGAUCUGGAAGAGAAAGAUAGUAGGCCGGGCCAUCCAUCUGCAGAAAAAGGCAAGUGGGCACGCUCCGUCCAGUUCUCCUCUCAGCCUGCCUUCGGCGCCGAGGGUGCAGCCAGCGGCUCCUCGUUCCAGGGCGACUGUGCCUGCGACGACAGCAUCGCUUGGCUGCGGCGCGCAAAGCAAAGACGCGAGCGCUCAGACGUCCGCGUGGAUCCCCACCUGCUCUACAGGCCACCCCAGCGCUCAGUGGGGAAGUCCGGUGGCCGUCCCUUCGCUCUCCCCUGCCAGCCCUCAUCCUUUCGCAGAGAAACUGGAUGCCGUGCACGCUGAGGUCCAGAAGCUCACGCAAGCUGUGCAUAUGGUGUUGGAGCGCCAGUGUCAGCUCGAGCGCCAACAGGAGCAGCAGCAGCGUUUCCAGCAGGAGGUGCUCGUGACGUUGCAGCAGCUGAGCUCCAUGAUCAGCCACCUGGCCGUGCCAAACAACGUCACGUGUGCCCCUUACAGCAGUAUAUCUGAACCAUCUCCUCCUUUGCCAAACUUCAGCCAGUUCAAGAUGGAAUUUAUCUGAUUAUUUGGCUAGAGCCGUGGAGAACGCAAAGGGGCCCUUGGAGUGGUCCAUAGUUACCUCCUGGUGGGUGCACUCUGGCCAUGCCUAGAGGAGAUGCUGCUCCAGGAUCUACUCUAAGCCCACCCCAAUUCUGCUAAAAUAAGUUGUCUUCCAGCCUCUGGCCUGGUUGGAUGCUCUAUAACUCAAGCAGGGAAGUAGGGAAUGAUGUGCAAGCUUGAACUUACUUGCGCAUCACCUGUGUCUUAGAGGGGAUAUUUUACACAUAUUACAAGGGAGGCUUUUAGUUGCAUUGUAGUGAAUACGGGACAGGGAGCAAAGCAACAGAGCUAAUGCCAGCUUCCAAAAGGAGAGCAGUCGCCCUCUGGUCCAAAGUGGGCAGAAACGUGCCUUUGUAAGAGUGAACUCUUGUCGGACGAGUCCUCUUGACAGUGUGAUGGAAGAGUUAGAAUAUUGGACUUUGGAGACCCGUGUGCGGGUUCUAAUUAAACCAUGACAUUCACGGUUUUUCAGGCAAUCCUACAGGGAUGUAAAGUCAGGAGGAGGGCCAUCAGCAGAUUGAAGGAAAGGUGGACUAUGACCCUUGCUGCUCCAGUUUGCCCAUUGGAGCGCUGGGUUUCUUCACCCACCUGCAUACCUGGAAGGUUAUGUUAGCUUUGUUUUGCAUCUAAAGGAAAGGUGUGAAGGCAGGGAAACAUUGUCAUCAGCAUCAUUUUGUAAGCACUGUUUUGCAGGGCAGUGAGAAAAGCAGGCUAAAACCCCUGUGAUGAUGAUGAGUCCCCCCUCCAGAUCCCCAAGGGAACGGCAGGUAUAGCUGUGGACUCGUUCUUUUGCUGGAGAUUGUGCAAACAUUCGGAUCUUUCUUUCUCAGGGCUUGAGAUUCCACCACUCGCAAUAAAUUGUCUGUUUGUAUACA